UACGUUGUGGUUCCUUUGCACUUUCCUGA
RNAcentral lists this non-coding RNA (29 nucleotides) under Rattus norvegicus (Norway rat). Lineage: Eukaryota; Metazoa; Chordata; Mammalia; Rodentia; Muridae. The record is from RNAcentral.